Molecule: ribosomal RNA, 793 nt
Filed under: uncultured bacterium
Lineage: Bacteria
Description: bacterial SSU rRNA
Rfam family: Bacterial small subunit ribosomal RNA
Source: RNAcentral
AGAGUUUGAUCAUGGCUCAGGAUGAACGCUAGCGGCAGGCUUAACACAUGCAAGUCGAGGGGCAGCAAGGGUAGCAAUACCUGUUGGCGACCGGCAAACGGGUGCGGAACACGUACAGAAUCUACCUUUAUCUGGGGAGUAGCCCGAAGAAAUUCGGAUUAAUACCCCAUAAUAUACGAGAGUGGCAUCACUCAUGUAUUAAAACUCCGGUGGAUAGAGAUGACUGUGCGUCCCAUUAGCUAGUUGGUAGGGUAAAGGCCUACCAAGGCGACGAUGGGUAGCUGGUGUGAGAGCACGACCAGCCACACGGGCACUGAGACACGGGCCCGACUCCUACGGGAGGCAGCAGUGAGGAAUAUUGGUCAAUGGACGCAAGUCUGAACCAGCCAUGCCGCGUGAAGGAUGAAGGCGUUCUGCGUUGUAAACUUCUUUUAUCUGGGAAGAAACCUACGAUUUCUAUUGUAGCCGACGGUACCAGAGGAAUAAGCACCGGCUAACUCCGUGCCAGCAGCCGCGGUAAUACGGAGGGUGCAAGCGUUAUCCGGAUUCACUGGGUUUAAAGGGUGUGUAGGCGGGUAUUUAAGUCAGUGGUGAAAUCUCCAGGCUCAACCUGGAAACUGCCAUUGAUACUAUUUAUCUUGAAUCCUGUUGAGGUGGGCGGAAUAUAUCAUGUAGCGGUGAAAUGCUUAGAGAUGAUAUAGAACACCGAUUGCGAAGGCAGCUCACUAAACAGGUAUUGACGCUGAGGCACGAAAGCGUGGGGAUCAAACAGGAUUAGAUACCCUAGUAGUCC